RNAcentral lists this transfer RNA (77 nucleotides) under Acidimicrobiaceae bacterium. RNAcentral's name for it is "tRNA-Gln". It matches the Rfam family "tRNA". Rfam says of the family: Transfer RNA (tRNA) molecules are approximately 80 nucleotides in length. Their secondary structure includes four short double-helical elements and three loops (D, anti-codon, and T loops). Further hydrogen bonds mediate the characteristic L-shaped molecular structure. tRNAs have two regions of fundamental functional importance: the anti-codon, which is responsible for specific mRNA codon recognition, and the 3' end, to which the tRNAs corresponding amino acid is attached (by aminoacyl-tRNA synthetases). tRNAs cope with the degeneracy of the genetic code in two manners: having more than one tRNA (with a specific anti-codon) for a particular amino acid; and 'wobble' base-pairing, i.e. permitting non-standard base-pairing at the 3rd anti-codon position. Lineage: Bacteria; Bacillati; Actinomycetota; Acidimicrobiia; Acidimicrobiales; Acidimicrobiaceae. The record is from RNAcentral. RNAcentral also lists the same sequence under 1 other name.
UGGCCCGUAGUUCAACUGGUUAGAACGUCGGACUUUGACUCCGGAUGUUGCAGGUUCGAGUCCUGCCGGGCCAGCCC